UUCUUCCCCAAAAAUUUUAGAUUUCCCUCUCAUAUUCACAAACAAUUGGAAAUUUAUCUCUCAUAAUCGAUCGUAUCCUCCGCUCAAUUCCCAUCCCCCAUCUUCCGACCAGACUGUCAUCUCCUCAAAUCGAUUCCCGCCACUGCCUCACUAAUUAAUCACGGAUGAGCUACCGACGAUCCACCACUUCACCACCAGAAAAUCAUCAUCGAUGCUCGAUUCCUUGACGCUAAACUUGUCAUCGCUUCAAUCCUCACUACAGCCCUCGACAGGGUAGAUAUCAUGCAGCAACUUUGAGCUAAGUUUUUUGAAGUUCUCACCCAAAAGAACAUGUAGACUCCUCAUGUAAAUAGUUAGAAUUUGGAAUUUGUUACUUAUUACACAAUGUUUUGCUAACAUU
Molecule: long non-coding RNA, 400 nt
Filed under: Helianthus annuus (common sunflower)
Lineage: Eukaryota; Viridiplantae; Streptophyta; Magnoliopsida; Asterales; Asteraceae
Description: hypothetical non coding rna
Source: RNAcentral